UGAAGCCGUAGCCCGACUCGGACUUGACGAUGCGCACGACCCGCGGGCCGCCGCCUCCCCCGCCGCCGUUCCCGGCGCAGUGGAGCCCAGACCCCCCGCCGCCGCCUCCAUUCCGCUUUUUGCUGCUCUGAAGUCUCCUCGUCCAAGCCGGAGCUGAAGUCUCCCUCCAGUGUCCCUGAAGACUCCAGCUACAUCUGACAUUUCCCUUUUCUAAAUUCCUGAGGCAAAUACAGUUCCAGGUGACCCCUAAUGAGUCAUGCUCUUGUGUAACUCCCUCCCUUGAAGUCAGACUGGUCCUGAUGGCUUAGUGGAAGGUUGAGAACCGUCUCGGGAGAGCCACAUAUGUGAAGCUUCAGGGGACUUCAGGACCUGAGUGACUCUUGGGGACAGCAAAAAAAGCUGGCUCACUUCAGAAUAUCUAUGCCAAGAGCCUUUGGGACAGGCAGGCAGAGAGGAAGUCUCCAAGCCACAAAGAAGCCCAGGCACAAAGCCUGAGUGGGUGUUUGCAGCUCUCGAAAAGUCUGUUUACUGACAACAUCCCUGGCUGUCCUGGAACCCACUCUGUACACCAGGCUGGCCUCGAAGUCACAGAGAUCCACCUACCCCUGCUUCCCGAGUGCUGGGAUUACAGACAUACACCACCACUACGCAGCAUAUAUGAGAUCUUUUUUGUUGCUGUUUUGAGACAGGGUAUCGUAUAACCCAGCUGUCUUCCAAUGUGCUAUGUAGUUGGGGAUGUCCUUGAAUUCUGAAUCCCCCUGCCUCCACCUCUACUGCCUCCCAAGCACUAGAUUACAGGCAUGUCCCAUCUUGUCCAGCUAUAAAUGAGAUCUUAAAAUCAGCUUUCAUUGUAUCAAAAUGUUUGCAGCCUCUAGAAUGUUCCCAGAGGUCUGCCUCUGAUGACACACGUAACCAAGCAAAACCAGCACAGGGAGACGCAUGCAGUUUUUAAAUAAAACUUACUUCCCUAUAAUCCAACUUCUUUUUAGGCCUGGCCUUUCUUCUUCUGGUGCUGGACCUAAUUUGUAAAAAUCCCUCAUUUCACCCUAAUUCAGCUGUUGCCCUUUGCUAAAAAAUAAAAAAAUAAAAAUAAAUUAAUUUGGUAUUUACAUCAUGAGAACUCCUGAGGCCUCUGCUUUGUCCCAUGGGGCUCGUAGUGGCCACCUGCCCAGGUGCUCGAGGACAUGCUGCCCUCUACUGGUUUCAACCUGGAGGUGCAGAGUGCCUCCACUUGGCUCACCAAACUCUUCAAUGAGUUGAAAGGGACUUCAGUCUAACCCUCUCCCCCCACCACCAUUUUUUUUUUAAUAGUAGAGAAUCUGAAGCUCAGAGAGGUUAAGACUUUUGAGUAAGGACACACUGAGGUUAGAGAAGGAGCCAGGCAAAGAGCCCACGCUCAACAGAGGACGGGGAAGGAGAAACAGUCACCUCUUCAAAUGUGGAAAGGCACAAUGGCACUUAAGAACUCGGGGCUUCAGGGCUGGAGAGAUGGUUCAAUAGGUAAGGGCGGUGCUUCCUGCCUUGGUAGAGGACUGGAGCUGGGCUCUCACCUCUCAUGUUAGGGGCUCACCUGUAACUCCAGCUCCAAGAACAUCCAAUGCCCCCUGCUGGCCUCUGCAGGCACCUGCAUUCUGCAUUCUUACAUACAUGGACGGACACACACACACACACACACACACACACACACACACACACACACACACACACACACACACACCUUUAAAAAGAAAAAACACGGGGCUGGAGAGAUGGCUCAGUGGUUAAGAGCACUGGCUGUUCUUCCGGAGGUCCUGAGUCCAAUUCCCAGCAACCACAUGAGAGCUCACAACCAUCUGUAAUGAGAUCUGGCGCCCUCUUCUGGCCUGCAGGCAUAUAUGCAGGCAGAAUACUGCAUAUAUAAUAAAUCUUAAAAAUAAAUAAAUAAAUAAAAUAAAAAGAAAAAACACAAGGGGCUGGAGAGAUGGCUCAGCUGUUAAGAGAACUGGCUGCCUUCCAGCGCACCCAGGUUCAAUUCCCAGAAUCCACAUGGUGACUGACAACCAUCCUUAACUCCAAUCCCAGGGGAUCUGUCACCCUCUUCUGGCCUCUGAGGACACUGCACAUAUGUGGUGCACAGACAUGCACGCAAGCAACAAACCACUGACACACAUAAAAUGUAAAUAAGACCUCAAAGAAAAAAAAAUUUAAUGUGGGGUCACUGGGGAUACAGCUCAGUAGUAAAGCUCCGCCCAGAAUGUGUGAGGUGCUGGGUUCAGUUCCCAGCACCCUCACACACACACAACUGUGAACUCAGGUGAGUCAGGUGAUCCAAAAGGCUCAGGAGGAGCUUGGGGAAAGCAGAACAUCUCCCCAUCUCUCACUCUCCACACCCCAAUCUUCUACAAGGGACAGUACUCUAAGAUAUACCAGCACAGGGUCAGUGAAGAUUAGAUAGUUAUAGUUAUAGUUUUCCUUGUUAAGAUUUCAGAAAAGAAACUCACCAAAGAGGUGUAAAGUGUAUAAAUUUAAAAGACAUUAUAAGAUAGUUUUCUGUUAGUAAUACAUGUUAGGAUAGAAAGUGAUUCAGGUACAUUUUGGACUUAACAAAAUAGGAUAGAUAAUGGAAUAUUUUCUCUGAGUUUGUCAAAUGCAAAUGGACUAGACAUUGUUGAUAUAUUUAUUGCUUGUAUAUGUGGUAUAUAGUUAUUGUACUUUUGGAUAUAGUUUUUCUUAUAUUAGUUAUAACUUUUUUAUUCUUUUUUAUUUUUAUUAGAAAAAAGGGGGGAAUGUGGUGAUAUUUUAUUUGUAUGUUAAUAAAUAAAGUUUGCCUGGAGAUCAGAGGUCAUAGCUAGCCAUAAACAGAAGUCAGGCAGUGGUAGCACAUGCCUUAAUCCGAUCACAUGGCAGGCAGAGUCUCUGUGUGUUCAAGGACACAGCCAAGCGUGGUGACACACGCCUUUAAUCCCAGUGCCAACCAUAGAGACCUGGAGGUCUGUACAGACAGGCAGUGAUGAGGAAGUGAGGUGGCUGGGCUAAGAGCCAAUGAGAAGGCAGAACAGGAAGGCAAUGAAGGCACAGGUUAGACAGGAAGAGGCUCUCUUGGGAAGCCUAAAGUAGCCCUCACUUGCCCAUGCCCACCUGGACCCACACCCACCCUUACCUGCACCCACCUUUGUGCCCUUAAAUCUAGAUUGGAUGCUUUCUGAGCUUUCUUUUAGAAAUGGUGUGGGACUACUUACCUGCUGGCAUACAGAUGUCUUGUGGUACUACUUAGAUUAAUAGCAUUAAUUAAUAAUUAAUUAAUUAAGGACAGGUUCGCUGAAUUUCCCUUGUAAUCCUACAGUUAAGCCCUAUAUAUUAAAUGCUCAGAAAUAUUUACUCACAAUAAAUCACAUAUUCAGUGUCCACAGUGUGCCAGACAUGCUCACUGUGUAGCAUAGAGCUCAGAGAAUCAUCAUGGGCUUUGGCUCUUACUUAUUGUGUUAUAUCUUCUUUUCUAGCUCUGCUAUUUGGAAAAGUUACUUGAACUCUCUAAGCUUUAAUUUCCCCAUUUGUAAAACCAAGAUGAUAAUGUCUACUUACUAGGAAUAUUUACUGAGUGCUUAGAGUGAACUAGGCACCAUCUAGUUCCCAUUUGACAGAGGAAGAAAUCGAGACACAAGAGAGCAAGUCAAAGGAUGCACAGAUAGACAGAAUGGAUGGAGCUAGGUCACGGGCAGUCUGGCCCCAUAGCUCCACGUGUAAUGCUGUGCUUUACUCCCUCAUAGCUGAAGUAAUGGUCUGAACAGAGACAUAUAAGGGGGCUGGAGAGAUGCCUCUGUGCUUCACAGCACUUGUUCUUGCAGAGGACCAGCAUACAGUUCCUAGAACCCACAUGGAGCUCACAAUCACCUGUAACUCCAGUUCCAGAUGAUCUGAUGCCCUCUUUUGGUCCCUGUGGGUACUGCACACGUGUAUAUAAGCAUACAUGUAGGCAAAAGCACUUGUACACAUACGAUUUUUUUAAAAUAUCUAAAUCACUGCUGCUAGAUGACCAAAUGCAAGGACAGUGAAUGACAAAUGAGUGCCCCGGCCAGCGGGGUCUUCAAUGGGGUCCUAAAGGGAGGGCCGGUGAAUGAGAGGGACAAGAGACACAAAGAAUGAGAGCAAGACAGGACGUCUAAUCAAGCUCCAAAAUUUUAUUUUUCUCUCAAGGCAUAUAUAGGUAGGCAAAGGGGGUUGCGAGCAGGAAGGGACUUAACUAUGGGGGUUGCAAACAGGAAGGGACUUAAUUAUGGGGGUUGCAAGCAGGAAGGAACUUAGUAAUGGGGGUUGCAAGCAGGAAGGGACUUAAUUAUGGGCUGUUCGGCCAGCAGGAAAUGUUGCUCUGAAGGUUAUCUAUCUACCCUUGUCUAACUGCCUAAUUGCUUAACUGCAGCUCAUUCACCUGAUAUCUGAGAAGAGGUUCUGGUAUCUGUGAGAAGAGGUUCUGGUGCUAUGGAGACUUAAGCAAGGCCUAGAUCUAAGAAAAGAGGAGAGAAGCCCAAAUAUGGCGGCCUGUAUGUCAAGGGUCACUUAGGCUUAUGGCUCCCGUCAAAUGAGAUUCUUUAUUGCUGGUGCUUGCUUGACUCUUCCAUAAGCAUAUUGGGACACACAAGCUACCUGUUUCUCAUCCCCUGGGAUCAACUAAGAGAGUAGACAAAAUUCUUUAUCGUUUUUUCUAUGUGUAUGUGCACUAUUUGCAUGCCUGGUACCCUCAGAGGCCAGAAGAAGGUGUCAGAUCCCCUGGGACUGGAGCUGAAGGCAGUUGUGAGCCACCAUGUGGGUGCUGGGAAUCAAACUCAGGUUCUCUUGAAGAACAACCAGUGCUCUUAACCACUGAGCCAUCUCUCCAGCCCAAGAACACUCUUUUUUUUAAAAAAAAAAAUCUAUUUUUAUUUUAUGUGCAUUGGUGUUUUGCCUGCAUGUAUGUCUGUGUGAGGGUGUCAGAAGCCCUGGAACUAGAGUUAAAGGCCGGUGUGAGCUGCCAUGUGGGUGCUAGGAAUUGAACCUGGGUCCUCUGGAAGAGCAGCUAAUGCUCUUAAUUGCUGAGCCAUCUCUCCAGCCCCCAACAAAGUAUUUUUUUUAAAACAGGGUCUCCCUAUUGGGCCCAGGCUGUUCUCCUGCCUCACCCUCCUAAAUGCUGGAAUUUCAGGGAUGUAUCACCAUGCCCAGCUGGAAAGAAUUAUUUAAAAAGCAAACUGAAGCUGGGCAUGGUGACACACGGAUCCCAGCAGUUCAGAGAUGGAAGUGGGUGGAUUAGACGUUAUGGUCAAAGCUAUACUCUACAUAGUCAGUUCAAGAACUGGCCAGUCAGAACUAUACGAGACCCUGUCUUUAAAAAAAAAAAAAAGAAAGAAAAGGUGUGUGGUGUGAUGUAUACUCACAAUCCUAGUACUCGGGAAGCUGGGGCACGUGAGGUCUUUCUGGCUAUCCAGAGAGACCCUCUUAGAACCAAAGCGGAAGAGGGAGCUGGAGGAAAGGGAGGAAGACAGGGCUGGUGCAGGUACUCUUGCAGAGGACCCAGGUUUGGUUCCCAGCACCCACAUGGCAGUUGACAAUCACCUGUAACUCCAGUCCCAGGGGAUCUGAUGCCCUCUUCACCUGUAACUCCAGUCCCAGGGGAUCUGAUGCCCUCUUCACCUGUAACUCCAGUCCCAGGGGAUCUGAUGCCCUCUUCACCUGUAACUCCAGUCCCAGGGGAUCUGAUGCCCUCUUCUGACCUCAGUCACCAGGUAUGCACCCGGUGCGUAUACAGACAUGCAGGCCAAACACUCAUACAAAUCAAAAAAUUCAAUAAAUCUGAAAAAAACAAAAACAAGUGGUGCCUUCGGCACAGAAAAAUCCUGGUUUCUUCUAAGUCAUUGUGUGGCUAGGCACUGUGUGGACUAAUGACAGCCUUAGUGUUUAAUCACUUGCAGUCUAAUUAGGGAAAGAAGCAAGCAAGGUCUGGAUUAUAACGCAAAACAGUGUUACUAUGUUCUACAACAGGAUGGUCCAGAUGGUUUGCAUGAACUGGGUGGGUUCCAGAGGGACACAGCACAGGUUUGAGGAUUCUGGGAGGACCUCAAAGAAGAAAACUCAGGCCAGGCAUAGUGGCCCACCCUUUAAUCCCAGCACCCGGGAGACAGAGGCCGGUGGAUCUCUGGGAGUUUGAGGCCAGCCUGGUCUACAGAAUGAGUUUCAGGACAGCUAGGGCUACACAGAGAAACUCUGUUUCAAAAAAAACAAAACCGAAAAAAGAAGAAGAGAAGGAGAAGGAGAAGAAGAAGAAAAGGAGAAAGAGGAGGAAGCAGAAAGAAAAAGAAAAACCAGAAUCUGGCAUGGUGCCACACACCUUUAAUUCCAGCAUUCAGGAGACAGGGGUGGGAAUGUGUAAGUCUGAGAGAGUCCUGAUCUACAUAGGGAGUUCCAGAUUAGUCAGGGCUACACAAUGAGACUCUGUCUCCACAACAAACGAUUCUUUUUAAAUGCCUAAGAAUCAAUGGGUAAGGAGUGAAUCUGAGCUAAGAUUGAUGGGUUUUGACGUGCAGUGAGACAAGGGAACUCGGGAAUGUUCGUUUACGCUUAUGUUUGCCCCGCUGUUUCUCACUGCUGUACAGCUGCUGACUUAGCAUACUUACAACUGUGCACAUAUAAUUUCAUUUCAAAAUUAUAUUUUAAUACUUUGUAUAAAGGAAAAUUUGGCUCAUUAUGGGACUUGUAAUUUAUACUUGUAUUCUUACAUACAAUGAUAAUUUAAAUUGCUUUC
Peromyscus californicus insignis is the source of this 6748-nucleotide long non-coding RNA. RefSeq lists it as uncharacterized. The transcript has 5 exons. The record is from RefSeq and is a predicted model, not a curated record. Lineage: Eukaryota; Metazoa; Chordata; Mammalia; Rodentia; Cricetidae.